Molecule: non-coding RNA, 45 nt
Organism: Schistosoma mansoni
Lineage: Eukaryota; Metazoa; Platyhelminthes; Trematoda; Strigeidida; Schistosomatidae
Source: Rfam
AUCCAGCUGACGAGCUCCAAAUAGGGCGGAACGCGCAUCCUGGAU